This 490-nucleotide ribosomal RNA is filed under the name uncultured bacterium. Its description in RNAcentral is "partial 16S ribosomal RNA". It matches the Rfam family "Bacterial small subunit ribosomal RNA", at positions 30 to 507 of the family's 1533-position model. The record is from RNAcentral.
AUUGAACGCUGGCGGCAGGCCUAACACAUGCAAGUCGAACGGUAACAGAAAGCAGCUUGCUGCUUUGCUGACGAGUGGCGGACGGGUGAGUAAUGUCUGGGAAACUGCCUGAUGGAGGGGGAUAACUACUGGAAACGGUAGCUAAUACCGCAUAACGUCGCAAGACCAAAGAGGGGGACCUUCGGGCCUCUUGCCAUCGGAUGUGCCCAGAUGGGAUUAGCUAGUAGGUGGGGUAACGGCUCACCUAGGCGACGAUCCCUAGCUGGUCUGAGAGGAUGACACGCCACACUGGAACUGAGACACGGUCCAGCCCCCAACGGGAGGCAGCGGGGGGGAUUAUUGCAAAAUGGGGGCAAGCUUGAUGAAGCCAUGCGGGGUGGAGGAAGAAGCCCUGCGGUUUUAAAAGUAUUUUCAGGGGGGAGGAAGGGAGUAAAUUUAAUACCUUUGCUAAUUGACGUUCCCGGAAAAAGAAGCACCGGCAAACCCCGGG